CAGCAGUGGGGAAUAUUGGACAAUGGGCGAAAGCCUGAUCCAGCCAUGCCGCGUGUGUGAAGAAGGUCUUCGGAUUGUAAAGCACUUUAAGUUGGGAGGAAGGGUUGUAGAUUAAUACUCUGCAAUUUUGACGUUACCGACAGAAUAAGCACCGGCUAACUCUGUGCCAGCAGCCGCGGUAAUACAGAGGGUGCAAGCGUUAAUCGGAAUUACUGGGCGUAAAGCGCGCGUAGGUGGUUUGUUAAGUUGGAUGUGAAAUCCCCGGGCUCAACCUGGGAACUGCAUUCAAAACUGACUGACUAGAGUAUGGUAGAGGGUGGUGGAAUUUCCUGUGUAGCGGUGAAAUGCGUAGAUAUAGGAAGGAACACCAGUGGCGAAGGCGACCACCUGACUAAUACUGACACC
Molecule: ribosomal RNA, 405 nt
Filed under: Pseudomonas sp. enrichment culture
Lineage: Bacteria; Pseudomonadati; Pseudomonadota; Gammaproteobacteria; Pseudomonadales; Pseudomonadaceae
Description: bacterial SSU rRNA
Rfam family: Bacterial small subunit ribosomal RNA
Source: RNAcentral